Molecule: ribosomal RNA, 250 nt
Filed under: uncultured bacterium
Lineage: Bacteria
Description: partial 16S ribosomal RNA
Rfam family: Bacterial small subunit ribosomal RNA
Source: RNAcentral
UGGGGAAUCUUGCGCAAUGGGCGAAAGCCUGACGCAGCGACGCCGCGUGAGUGAUGAAGGCCUUCGGGUUGUAAAGCUCUGUGGGGAGAGAAGAAUAAGUCGUAGUGAAUAUCUACGAUGAUGACGGUAUCUCCUUAGCAAGCACCGGCUAACUCUGUGCCAGCAGCCGCGGUAAGACAGAGGGUGCAAACGUUGUUCGGAAUUACUGGGCGUAAAGCGUGUGUAGGCGGUGAGGUAAGUCAGGUGUGAA